GGGGAAUUUUGGACAAUGGGGGCAACCCUGAUCCAGCAAUGCCGCGUGAGUGAAGAAGGCCUUCGGGUUGUAAAGCUCUUUCGGCCGGGACGAAAUCGUGCAGGCUAAUAACCUGUAUGGAUGACGGUACCGGAACAAGAAGCACCGGCCAACUACGUGCCAGCAGCCGCGGUAAUACGUAGGGCGCGAGCGUUAAUCGGAAUUACUGGGCGUAAAGCGUGCGCAGGCGGUUUUGUAAGACAGGCGUGAAAUCCCCGGGCUCAACCUGGGAACUGCGCUUGUGACUGCAAGACUGGAGUACGGCAGAGGGGGGUGGAUUUCCACGUGUAGCAGUGAAAUGCGUAGUUAUGCGGAGGAACACCGAUGGCGAAGGCAGUCCCCUGGGCCUGUACUGACGCUCAUGCACGAAAGCGUGGGGAGCAAACA
RNAcentral lists this ribosomal RNA (426 nucleotides) under uncultured Rhodocyclaceae bacterium. RNAcentral describes it as "bacterial SSU rRNA". It matches the Rfam family "Bacterial small subunit ribosomal RNA", at positions 356 to 774 of the family's 1533-position model. The record is from RNAcentral. Lineage: Bacteria; Pseudomonadati; Pseudomonadota; Betaproteobacteria; Rhodocyclales; Rhodocyclaceae.